GGGGAGCUGAACGCUGCGCGCACCAACCCAGGCCCGAUGGUUUGUUGGAGAGACUGGACUUGAGAAGGUACAAUCAGGAACCAGCUUCAUUAUUUUCCAAGCACUGCCUUCAACUAGACUCUUUGGAUCACCUUCCCCAAUUGAGAGGAUUUCUUCGCCAAAUCUCAGACACUUUCAGGGUCACCAGAGAAGCCAGAGUGCAGACUGCAGGGAGUACGGGUUUGAAUGAACUUUGGCUGCUCCAUCAAGCAUGCUGAUCACUGAGGAAACAACAGAAGACUCACCCAAGUGA
This is a long non-coding RNA of Globicephala melas (long-finned pilot whale), 292 nucleotides long. RefSeq lists it as uncharacterized. The record is from RefSeq and is a predicted model, not a curated record. Lineage: Eukaryota; Metazoa; Chordata; Mammalia; Artiodactyla; Delphinidae.